GCCAGGUGCAGUGGCGCGUACCUGCAGUCCCAGCUACUCAGGAGGCUGAGGUGGGAAAAUCCCUUGAGCCCAGGAGUUCUGGGCUGUAUGCGCUAUGCCGAUUGGGUGCCCCCACUAAGUUUUGCAUCAAUAUGGUGAUGUCCCAGGAGCGGGGGACCACCAGGUUGCCUAAGGAGGGGUGAACCGACCCAGGGCAGAAACAGAGCAGGUCAAAACUCCCGUGCUGAUCAGUAGUGGGAUCGCGCCUGUGAAUAGCCACUGCACUCCAGCCUGGGCAACAUGACAAUACCCCAUCCCU
This 298-nucleotide signal recognition particle RNA is filed under the name Cebus imitator (Panamanian white-faced capuchin). Its description in RNAcentral is "Metazoan signal recognition particle RNA (ENSCCAG00000015321.1)". It matches the Rfam family "Metazoan signal recognition particle RNA". Rfam says of the family: The signal recognition particle (SRP) is a universally conserved ribonucleoprotein. It is involved in the co-translational targeting of proteins to membranes. Lineage: Eukaryota; Metazoa; Chordata; Mammalia; Primates; Cebidae. The record is from RNAcentral.